CCUACGGGAGGCAGCAGUGGGGAAUAUUGGACAAUGGGCGCAAGCCUGAUCCAGCCAUACCGCGUGUGUGAAGAAGGCCUUUUGGUUGUAAAGCACUUUAAGCGAGGAGGAGGCUCUUGAGGAUAAUACCCUUGAUGAGUGGACGUUACUCGCAGAAUAAGCACCGGCUAACUCUGUGCCAGCAGCCGCGGUAAUACAGAGGGUGCGAGCGUUAAUCGGAAUUACUGGGCGUAAAGCGCGCGUAGGCGGCUUGUUAAGUCGGAUGUGAAAUCCCCGGGCUCAACCUGGGCACUGCAUUCGAUACUGGCAAGCUAGAGUAUGGGAGAGGAAGGUAGAAUUCCAGGUGUAGCGGUGAAAUGCGUAGAGAUCUGGAGGAAUACCGAUGGCGAAGGCAGCCUUCUGGCCUAAUACUGACGCUGAGGUGCGAAAGCAUGGGGANCAAACAGGAUUAGAUACCCUGGUAGUCCAUGCCGUAAACGNUGUACAACUGCCGUUGGGACCUUGAGUCGUUAGNGCGNAGCGUAACGNGUAGUUAGUUGACCGUUCGUUGGGGAGUUCGGUUCGCGAAGACUUAAACGACGAAAGGUUAGUUGGACGGCGNGAGACGCGACCGACGGACGACGACGAGGGAGGUAGG
Molecule: ribosomal RNA, 637 nt
Filed under: uncultured bacterium
Lineage: Bacteria
Description: bacterial SSU rRNA
Rfam family: Bacterial small subunit ribosomal RNA (bases 1-545)
Source: RNAcentral